Molecule: ribosomal RNA, 245 nt
Filed under: uncultured bacterium
Lineage: Bacteria
Description: partial 16S ribosomal RNA
Rfam family: Bacterial small subunit ribosomal RNA
Source: RNAcentral
UACGUAGGUGGCAAGCGUUAUCCGGAAUUAUUGGGCGUAAAGAGUGAGCAGGCGGCAUGACAAGUCUGGAGUGAAAGCGUAAGGCUCAACCUUAUACAGCUUUAGAAACUAUCAAGCUAGAGUACGAGAGAGGUAAACGGAAUUCCAUGUGUAGCGGUGAAAUGCGUAGAUAUAUGGAGGAACACCAGUGGCGAAGGCGGUUUACCAGCUCGAAACUGACGCUCAGUCACGAAAGCGUGGGUAGC